GGGGAGUUACGCUAACCUGGCAGACUGCGAGCCUUGGGCGCUCGCUAUAGGAGUUCAAAUCUCCUACUCCCCA
This is a non-coding RNA of Candidatus Micrarchaeum sp. AZ1, 73 nucleotides long. The record is from Rfam. Lineage: Archaea; Nanobdellati; Microcaldota; Candidatus Micrarchaeia; Candidatus Micrarchaeales; Candidatus Micrarchaeaceae.